CGGGGCGUAGUAUACCGGUAGUACGCUUGCUUUGGGAGCAAGAAGACCGAGUCCAAUUCUCGGCGCCCCGA
Molecule: transfer RNA, 71 nt
Filed under: bacterium
Lineage: Bacteria
Also listed under: 1 other name
Description: tRNA-Pro
Rfam family: tRNA
About the family: Transfer RNA (tRNA) molecules are approximately 80 nucleotides in length.
Source: RNAcentral